RNAcentral lists this ribosomal RNA (453 nucleotides) under uncultured bacterium. RNAcentral describes it as "bacterial SSU rRNA". It matches the Rfam family "Bacterial small subunit ribosomal RNA", at positions 29 to 521 of the family's 1533-position model. The record is from RNAcentral.
AUUGAACGCUGGCGGCAUGGCUAAAGCAUGCAAGUCGAACGAGAACCACUUCGGUGGGGACAGUGGCGGAAGGGCGAGGAACGCGAUCGAACGUACCCCGAGGUGGGGGAUAGCGUCGGGAAACUGACAGUAAUACCCCAUGUGCUCUACGGAGGAAAGGUUUACCGCCUUGGGAGCGGCGAUCGUCCUAUCAGGUAGUUGGUGAGGUAAUGGCUCACCAAGCCGAAGACGGGUAGCGGGUGUGAGAGCAUGACCCGCCGCAUCGGGACUGAGACACUGCCCGGACUCCUACGGGAGGCUGCAGCAACGAAUAUUCCGCAAUGGGCGAAAGCCUGACGGAGCAAUGCCGCGUGUGGGAUGAAUCGGCUACGCCGUGUAAACCACUGUCAGGGUGCAGGAACACUGACCGCACCCAGAGGAAGGGCCGGCUAACCUCGUGCCAGCCGCCGCAGU